RNAcentral lists this ribosomal RNA (555 nucleotides) under uncultured Clostridium sp. RNAcentral's name for it is "partial 16S ribosomal RNA". It matches the Rfam family "Bacterial small subunit ribosomal RNA", at positions 8 to 565 of the family's 1533-position model. The record is from RNAcentral. Lineage: Bacteria; Bacillati; Bacillota; Clostridia; Eubacteriales; Clostridiaceae.
AGAGUUUGAUCCUGGCUCAGGACGAACGCUGGCGGCGUGCCUAACACAUGCAAGUCGAGCGGAGGAUUCAAGAUGUUUACAUCGCGGAUCCUUAGCGGCGGACGGGUGAGUAACACGUGGGUAACCUGCCUCAAAGUGGGGGAUAGCCUUUCGAAAGGAAGAUUAAUACCGCAUAAGCCUCCGGUGCCGCAUGGCGCUGAAGGAAAAGGAGCAAUUCGCUUUGAGAUGGACCCGCGGCGCAUUANCUANUUGGUGAGGUAACGGCUCACCAAGGCCACGAUGCGUUACCGACCUGANAAGGUGAUCNGCCACAUUGGAACUGANACACGGUCCAAACUCCUACGGGAAGCAGCAGUGGGGAAUAUUGCACAAUGGGCGAAACCUGAUGCNACCAACCCCCCCUUUAAUUUANUNAAAGGCCUUCCNGGUUCUUAAAACUCUUUGAUCCGGGGAUGAAAAAUGAACANUUCCCUGAAAAACAANCCCCGGGUAACUACUUNCCACCACCCCCGGUAAUACUUUUGUUGGAAACUUUUUCGAAUUACNGGCNUUANG